RNAcentral lists this ribosomal RNA (326 nucleotides) under uncultured bacterium. Its description in RNAcentral is "bacterial SSU rRNA". It matches the Rfam family "Bacterial small subunit ribosomal RNA", at positions 468 to 793 of the family's 1533-position model. The record is from RNAcentral.
GUUGACGGUAUUUAACCAGAAAGUCACGGCUAACUACGUGCCAGCAGCCGCGGUAAUACGUAGGUGGCAAGCGUUAUCCGGAUUUAUUGGGCGUAAAGAGAGUGCAGGCGGUUUUCUAAGUCUGAUGUGAAAGCCUUCGGCUUAACCGGAGAAGUGCAUCGGAAACUGGAUAACUUGAGUGCAGAAGAGGGUAGUGGAACUCCAUGUGUAGCGGUGGAAUGCGUAGAUAUAUGGAAGAACACCAGUGGCGAAGGCGGCUACCUGGUCUGCAACUGACGCUGAGACUCGAAAGCAUGGGUAGCGAACAGGAUUAGAUACCCUGGUAG